RNAcentral lists this ribosomal RNA (417 nucleotides) under uncultured microorganism. RNAcentral's name for it is "bacterial SSU rRNA". It matches the Rfam family "Archaeal small subunit ribosomal RNA", at positions 330 to 745 of the family's 1478-position model. The record is from RNAcentral.
GCGCAGCAGGCGCGAAACCUCCGCAAUGCGGGAAACCGCGACGGGGGACCCCGAGUGCCGUGGCAACGCCACGGCUUUUCCGGAGUGUAAAAAGCUCCGGGAAUAAGGGCUGGGCAAGGCCGGUGGCAGCCGCCGCGGUAAUACCGGCGGCCCGAGUGGUGGCCGCUAUUAUUGGGCCUAAAGCGUCCGUAGCCGGGCCCGUAAGUCCCUGGCGAAAUCCCACGGCUCAACCGUGGGGCUUGCUGGGGAUACUGCGGGUCUUGGGACCGGGAGAGGCGGGGGGUACCCCUGGGGUAGGGGUGAAAUCCGUAUAAUCCCCAGGGGGACCGCCAGUGGCGAAGGCGCCCCGCUGGAACGGGUCCGACGGUGAGGGACGAAGGCCAGGGGAGCAAAACCGGGAUUAGAUACCCGGGUAGU